RNAcentral lists this ribosomal RNA (481 nucleotides) under Neooxyartes zomproi. RNAcentral describes it as "partial large subunit ribosomal RNA". It matches the Rfam family "Bacterial large subunit ribosomal RNA", at positions 1929 to 2622 of the family's 2925-position model. Lineage: Eukaryota; Metazoa; Arthropoda; Insecta; Phasmatodea; Lonchodidae. The record is from RNAcentral.
GGCCGCGGUAUAUUGACCGUGCAAAGGUAGCAUAAUCAUUAGUUCAUUAAUUGUGGACUUGUAUGAAUGGUCGGACAAAAUAUUAACUGUCUCAUAUUGUAUUUUAUAAUUUAAAAUUUGAGUUAAAAUGCUUAAAUUAGUUUAUAGGACGAGAAGACCCUAUAGAUCUUUAUUAUUAUUUUAAUUUAAUUGGUUUUGUUUAUUUUUAAUUGAUUUAUUUGAUUUUUUAGUUGGGGUGACGUUAAGAUAUAAUUAACUCUUUUUAUUCUAUUCCAAUUAUUUUUGUUUAUUUGACCUAUUAUUAGUAUUUAGAAGAUAUAGAUACCUUAGGGAUAACAGCGUAAUUUUUUUUGAGAGUUCUUAUCGACAAAGAAGAUUGCGACCUCGAUGUUGGAUUAAGAAUAAUGUUUAGGUGAAGGAGCUUAAAUAUUAAGUCUGUUCGACUUUUAAAUUCUUACAUGAUCUGAGUUCAAACCGGAGA